Molecule: transfer RNA, 77 nt
Filed under: Carnobacterium sp.
Lineage: Bacteria; Bacillati; Bacillota; Bacilli; Lactobacillales; Carnobacteriaceae
Also listed under: 6 other names
Description: tRNA-Met
Rfam family: tRNA
About the family: Transfer RNA (tRNA) molecules are approximately 80 nucleotides in length. Their secondary structure includes four short double-helical elements and three loops (D, anti-codon, and T loops). Further hydrogen bonds mediate the characteristic L-shaped molecular structure. tRNAs have two regions of fundamental functional importance: the anti-codon, which is responsible for specific mRNA codon recognition, and the 3' end, to which the tRNAs corresponding amino acid is attached (by aminoacyl-tRNA synthetases). tRNAs cope with the degeneracy of the genetic code in two manners: having more than one tRNA (with a specific anti-codon) for a particular amino acid; and 'wobble' base-pairing, i.e. permitting non-standard base-pairing at the 3rd anti-codon position.
Source: RNAcentral
CGCGGGAUGGAGCAGUUCGGUAGCUCGUCGGGCUCAUAACCCGAAGGUCGUAGGUUCAAAUCCUACUCCCGCAACCA